Molecule: ribosomal RNA, 253 nt
Filed under: uncultured bacterium
Lineage: Bacteria
Description: partial 16S ribosomal RNA
Rfam family: Bacterial small subunit ribosomal RNA
Source: RNAcentral
UACAGGGGGUGCAAACGUUGCCCGGAAUUACUGGGCGUAAAGCGUGCGUAGGUGGUUUGUUAAGUCUGUUGUGAAAGCCCCGGGCUCAACCUGGGAAUGGCAAUGGAUACUGGCAAGCUAGAGUGCGGUAGAGGGUAGUGGAAUUCCCGGUGUAGCGGUGAAAUGCGUAGAGAUCGGGAGGAACACCAGUGGCGAAGGCGGCUACCUGGACCAGCACUGACACUGAGGCACGAAAGCGUGGGGAGCAAACAGG